This is a long non-coding RNA of Halichondria panicea, 855 nucleotides long. RefSeq lists it as uncharacterized. NCBI's taxonomy places the organism in Eukaryota, Metazoa, Porifera, Demospongiae, Suberitida, Halichondriidae. The transcript is spliced from 2 exons. The record is from RefSeq and is a predicted model, not a curated record.
UCAAUCGUUCGUCAGAUUCUGACGAAUGGAUAUUCUCGUUCACUUUCGUGACAUUUAUAUUUGUGUACUAUCGUGUACUAGAAGUCAGUUCCCGUUUUAUCAUUAUUGGAAUCGAUUGGAAUGGCUCUUAGCUGAAGCUUCUCUCUUCUCUGAAGCUUAUUCUGAAGACUGAACAACAAGGGAAGAGGUAUAAAGCUUUGUCAAGCUUGUUAAGGUCAGAUAUUUUUGUGUGGGCCCUAUGGCCGGCUAUGCUAUCAAGUCUUGUUCAUGUUUGGCAAGAAUGUAGGUAGACUAUAGUUUCAUCAUUAAUAUGGUGGAUCAAGUGAAGAGUGUGAGCUAGAGAACUUGGUGCUGCCAUCAUCAGCUCGUCGACAAUGACACUAUAACCGAGAAAUUUAAUAUGUAUAGAUCUACACGUAUUUAAAAUGUCUACUUCUCUGUACAGGAGCAAUGGCUAAUAUCCAGCUAUCCCAACAGUGCUCCUCUUGGCUAUACUAACGGACGAGACUGGACAGUUUGAGACACAGGACUGGAGUAUGACCUGCUCAUUCGAGCGUUGCUGGGUAGCUCAGAGACAUCAAGAGAAUCUAUAUUUUCUCAAGCAAUGAGUUACGAGUUGGGGCCUAGAAUCAGAGAAGUCCAGCAGCCUGCUAAAUCUUUUUGAAACGUAAUUUGAAGGCAUUCAAUCAUCCUGAAGUUUCCCUGGGUCACUGUAAUUGUGCUGCAGCACAACUGGCAACUCCCCAGGCCUUUGUGAAGCAGCUCCCUAUGUGCAUCUUUUGUGUACUCACUCUGUGCAUUUUCUGUGUACAAAUUUCCAUUAUUGAUUUAUUAAAUAUUUUUGCCGACCACAAA